UACGUAGGUGGCAAGCGUUGUCCGGAUUUACUGGGCGUAAAGAGCGCGCAGGCGGUUAAUUAAGUCGAAUGUGAAAGCCCCCGGCUCAACUGGGGAGGGUCAUUCGAUACUGAUCAACUUGAAGGCAGGAGAGGGUAGUGGAAUUCCCGGUGUAGUGGUGAAAUGUGUAGAUAUCGGGAGGAACACCAGUGGCGAAGGCGACUACCUGGCCUGUUCUUGACGCUGAGGCGCGAAAGCUGGGGGAGCAAACGGG
This 253-nucleotide ribosomal RNA is filed under the name uncultured bacterium. RNAcentral describes it as "partial 16S ribosomal RNA". It matches the Rfam family "Bacterial small subunit ribosomal RNA", at positions 524 to 776 of the family's 1533-position model. The record is from RNAcentral.